GUGGGAUGCUAGCGGUUCGGUCUGGUUCUAUGGAAGCAGUAGCUCUGAAGAGCAGCAGACACCAAACCGGUUGGUGGGAGGUGGUUUUGG
Pseudonaja textilis is the source of this 90-nucleotide non-coding RNA. NCBI's taxonomy places the organism in Eukaryota, Metazoa, Chordata, Lepidosauria, Squamata, Elapidae. The record is from RefSeq and is a predicted model, not a curated record.